This 23-nucleotide non-coding RNA is filed under the name Drosophila melanogaster (fruit fly). The record is from RNAcentral. Lineage: Eukaryota; Metazoa; Arthropoda; Insecta; Diptera; Drosophilidae.
CCCCUAUCCAAGCUACAGCACAG